Molecule: transfer RNA, 85 nt
Filed under: Felis catus (domestic cat)
Lineage: Eukaryota; Metazoa; Chordata; Mammalia; Carnivora; Felidae
Rfam family: tRNA
About the family: Transfer RNA (tRNA) molecules are approximately 80 nucleotides in length.
Source: Rfam by way of RNAcentral
GCCUGGGUGGCUCAGUCAGUUAAGCAUCUGACUUCAGCUCAGGUCACGAUCUCAUGGUUCGUGGGUUCAAGCCCCAUAUUGGGUU